UGUAGAUUCGCUAACAGGGAUGUUAGCAUUUGCCAGUGACUUUUGUAAGUCUUUAGCUGACACUCUAGGAUUCUUCUUCACCUCAUUGAGCAGUCUGCUCUGUGCUCUUGCAGUCAUCUUUACAGGACGGCCACUCCUAGGGAGAGUAGCAGCAGUGCUGAACUUUCUCCAUUUAUAGACAAUUUGUCUUACCGUGGACUGAUGAACAGCAAGGCUUUUGGAGAUACUCUUAUAACCCUUUCCAGCUUUAUGCAAG
Non-coding RNA from Pelobates cultripes (western spadefoot toad), 256 nucleotides. The record is from the annotation of a GenBank genome assembly. NCBI's taxonomy places the organism in Eukaryota, Metazoa, Chordata, Amphibia, Anura, Pelobatidae.